GUGUAACGAAAUGUGGCUUAGUUCGCGAACACAGAAGUGCCAGAAGAUAGCUUGUGUCUCUCUGAAACUCGCCAUAUGCGUGGCGUGCCAGGCAAAUGGGGACCAACGAUUUUCAUGCCCUGGAGUGCGUUCUCUUUUGUGUCUGGUUGCGGGAAGUUCGCUGGACGUCGCAAAGAAAUAAUGUGUAUUAUUAGCGUGCCUCAGCUCGUCCACUACGUAACGGCGUGUAGACUGGGAGUCGACGCAGCACCGGCAACUUGGAGAGCGCUUUUCGACCGCGUCGUACCAUUCAAAAGUGGCGAGGCCGUAACCCACACCAGUGUCCACAUAAUGGAGGAGCCAGCAGAAAUGCAGGGAAACCUUGAAUGACUGCCAUAGCGCAGUGUGUAAUCUGAUUGCUUGGUUCAGGUACACCUAGCAAAUGUAUACAUUGACGAGGAGUGGCACCUGCUCUAGUGCCAUGGCUAGGACUCCCUGUUCUGCAAAGAACUGGCAAAACUGGUGUGCGGAGUUCUGGCACUCAGGAUAGGAGCAUCACAGGGGCUCUUUGGUGGUGCUUCCUGAACGACCGCAAUUUCAUUGAGAAGCCGGCAUUGAGCGUCCAUAAAUUGGAAGCUGUGGACAGUAUCAUCGACAUUGUUUCAAAUUUGUUUGUGUAAUGUUUGUAACAAUACAUGUAUUACAGUGAAAUGAUUAAUUUUCCAGAUGCACUUGAUGCAUAUCUUUCGAGAUGUGGUGCCCCUGAGGAGGAGAAAUCGCGGUGCUCAAAAUGGACCGUAGCCUAGCAGACAUGCUGAGAGAAAUUAAGUAAGCGUGUAAUUGCAAACAUGUGUACAUGCAGUAAACCUCAUUAAUUUGAACUCGUGGGGGCCAUGCGAAAUGUCAGGACUAAGCAAACGCAACCAAAAUGGUUUAAAAUAUAUAUUUAUGUUUCGGCUUCCCACGGGAGCCUUGUUCACAAUGAAACCAGCAGCAGAGUAGGUAACGUUCUUAUCUGCAGCUCAAAACAUGAUUAAGGUACUUGGCAUACAUGGACAUGGAUGAUUAGAGAUUCAAGAUAAAGACGCGUAAAAUGAUUUCAUUCCUUAACAAUCAAGCGAUAUUUUUCCUAGCUAAUUGUGACGUAGUUGCGCAGUGCUUGGCCAGGGCAUUCGAUGCAAAGUAUCGUUUCUGGACAUCAUUCCUGUGCUGUUUAAGUCCUUUUUUGGAGUUGCCGGUUUCUCCGAUGUAGACGUACCGACAGUUCGCACACCGAACGACCUACACUACGCCUGGGAACUUGCCCUUUUCCGAACGGUCUUUCACAUGCAUGAGCUCGUGUUUACGUUUUGGAACGUGCACAGCCUGCACAUCAUAUGACCACAACGCAUGCAAGGGUCUCGCUUAUGCAGGGGACCUAUGGUAUUGAAGCCCA
This is a long non-coding RNA of Dermacentor andersoni, 1414 nucleotides long. RefSeq lists it as uncharacterized. NCBI's taxonomy places the organism in Eukaryota, Metazoa, Arthropoda, Arachnida, Ixodida, Ixodidae. The record is from RefSeq and is a predicted model, not a curated record.